CCUACGGGUGGCAGCAGUGAGGAAUAUUGGUCAAUGGACGAGAGUCUGAACCAGCCAAGUAGCGUGAAGGAUGACUGCCCUAUGAGUUGUAACCUCCUUUUAUAAAGGAGUAAAACGCGGCAUGUGUGCCUUUAUGCAUGUCCUAUAUGGAUACGGAUCGGCUAACUCCGUGCCAGCAGCCGCGGUAAUACGGAGGCUCCGAGCGUUAUCCGGAUUUAUUGGGUUUAAAGGGUGCGUAGAGGGGUUGUCAAGGCAGUUGUGAAAGUUUGCGGCUCAACCGUAAAAUUGCAAUUGAUACUGGGAGUCUUGAGUAUAGUUGAGGUAGGCGGAAUUCGUGGUGUAGCGGUAAAAUGCGUAGAUAUCACGAAGAACCCCGAUUGCGAAGGCAGCUUACUAAACUGUGACUGACAUUGAUGCUCGAAAGUGUGGGUAUCAAACAGGAUUAGAUACCCCAGUAGUC
RNAcentral lists this ribosomal RNA (460 nucleotides) under uncultured bacterium. RNAcentral describes it as "partial 16S ribosomal RNA". It matches the Rfam family "Bacterial small subunit ribosomal RNA", at positions 338 to 795 of the family's 1533-position model. The record is from RNAcentral.